RNAcentral lists this ribosomal RNA (459 nucleotides) under uncultured bacterium. RNAcentral describes it as "partial 16S ribosomal RNA". It matches the Rfam family "Bacterial small subunit ribosomal RNA", at positions 338 to 795 of the family's 1533-position model. The record is from RNAcentral.
CCUACGGGGGGCAGCAGUGAGGAAUAUUGGUCAAUGGGCGGGAGCCUGAACCAGCCAAGCCGCGUGAGGGAAGAAGGUCCAGCGUAUCGUAAACCUCUUUUGUCAGGGAACAAAGGCGGGGACUAGUCCCCGGAUGAGGGUACCUGAAGAAAAAGCAUCGGCUAACUCCGUGCCAGCAGCCGCGGUAAUACGGAGGAUGCGAGCGUUAUCCGGAUUUAUUGGGUUUAAAGGGUGCGUAGGCGGGCUGUUAAGUCAGCGGUAAAAGUGCGGGGCUCAACCCCGGCGAGCCGUUGAACCUGCGUGUCUUGAGUGGGCGAGAGGUAGGCGGAAUGCGCGGUGUAGCGGUGAAAUGCUUAGAUAUUGCGCAGAACUCCGAUUGCGAAGGCAGCAUACCGGCGGCGAUCUGACGCUGAGGCACGAAAGCGUGGGUAUCGAACAGGAUUAGAUACCCCAGUAGUC